UUAGUAGGAAGGGGCGUAGGACAAGGCGAGUGUCUGUGGCCCUCUGGUGGAGUAGUAAGACAUAAGGGGCGCAGGAGAACACACCUCGAGAGCUUUAACAACUCCCCGAGAUGGACAGACGAAACGCCCAUCCGAGGCUUUUGGUCACUUUACAUACAGGUCAUAUACGAGUGCCUAACUGCGCGGCGGUUGUUGAACAUAAAUCUCCAGUUGUUUAAUAAGGAAAAGCUGGUGAACUUGUGGGGGAAUUUUCUGACGUGUGAGGUCAGUGGAUUGAACUUUUUUGGCCUUAAAAUAAAAGCUAGUGUGAUCUUACCUGGUUAAAUCUUCGCGCCAAGAUGCUGUACAGUCGGCAGAUGUCAAGUCAACAACAGCUUCGGGUCUUAGUGGACCAGUUGCAGAGGGAGGCAAACAUAGAACGCAUGAACACUUCGGAAGCCAUUAACCAGCUGAAGGAGUAUGUCCGCGAGCACCAAAAGGACGACUACUUAUGCCACCCCAUGAGGAACCCUCGAGCCAACCCAUUCCGAGAGAAGAGCAUCUGCCACAUCCUCUAGACCUUUUUAAGCAAGCGUUUUUUAAGCUUCGCCGUGUUGUUUAACAAUGUUAGAACAAAAUGCAGCUGAUCUGUGUUUUAGAUUUGAGUCGAGCAGCGAAUUUGUACACUUAAUGCCAACAGGUAGAUUUUGUAAGUUGAUAAGGUGACUUGACUUGGUAUCCCAUGUUAGUGGAAUUGCAAUAUUAUUCCCAUUUUUAUUUAGUUAUUAUCUGACUCUUAUGAUAUUUAGAAUCUUGGACUUAGUAUAGAUCUGAUAGAAGAGUAUAAAGGAAGUAUAUAUUCACUGUACAACAGUAUUUUUGCUUUUAUUUCAUAUUAUUUAGUUUGAGUGUUUUAUGUGUUCUUAUACAUAAACAGGAACUGUAUCUUCAAAAGAGGCUGCAGUCUGUUUGUGCUAAUAUUUUAUGGUUAUUAACAUUGUACCUCCAUAAAGGUGCAUCAGAGUAGCUUAAGCUCACCAAAGAUCGUCAGUUUGGCAACAGAAUCCAAAGGAUGAGAGAUUAUUAGAACUAAGAUUGAUAUUAAAACCUCCAUUUUGAAAAGUUUUGAGAAGUUCUUAUUUGGUUAAGGUAUUUUUUACUCCUAUCUCAGGCAGAAUUUUUUAUCAUUUAAAUUACAAUAAUAGUGAGUGAGUAUGUGAUAAAUGCAUGUGAGGGAGUCUGUGUGAAAUGCACUUGAAUGAAUGUGAGUGUGUGUGAGUACUACACAUGUACGUGCUUGAGUUUGUUAGUUUGCAUAGAUGUAGGCAGGCUUGCACAAAUGGGCGUGUCUUUUGUGUAAAUAUACAUAGAUAUGUAUGUAUAUAUGUAUCUGUAACUUUUUACAAUAUGUGCGAGUGUGUCAGCAUUUGUAUAUGAGGGUUUGUGUGUGUGUAUACUGUAUGUAGGUGCAUAAAGGUCCACAUUUAAGUACACUGACGUAAGCAAUAGCGCACAUAUCAACUUUUUAGUUAUUUAGAUAAUUUUUCUGAAAUAGGUUGACCUUCAGCUAUGUAGCAAGUGACACAUUUAUUUCAUUAGAGAUUUUAAUAAUGUAUAAUUAUGCCUUCAAAGAUCUGUUUCUAUACCAUGUCAAGCGCUGUUUCUAAUCCAUGCAGGAAGUUAGCUAUUUCUAAAGCAUUAGAAAUUUAUGAGCUAUUUAUUAGCUGUUAGCUAUUUCUAACACAUCAUAUGCAUUUCAUACUAAAGCACUUUAAGAUUGUCAAGCCGAUUAAUAAGAAUGGUCUUCAGGAUGUUAUUAGGAUUUUUACAACCCUUUUUUGGAUAGAUUUGAAAACCUUGUUAUGUUUAUUUUCAUUUUGAAGUUAUAUUUAUACAUGAUUUAUUUUUUUCUCUUUCUUUGACACAAUAAUUCCCUGUGUAUUCUUGAUGAAGGUGAUGAUUAAUGGUUAUUUCAAGAUUGGAUAAUGGAAUGGAGAAAUAAUUUUUCUGUAAAAUUUGAAUAUAACAUCCUGAUUUGGGCUGAUCUUUGUGUUUUUAAAAACCGGUGAAAAGAUGUUGGUGUUAAUCUGACUAAAAAGAAUUUAGGACAUAACUUGGUAUUGAAAAUAACACAAAUGGGGCAUGGAAACAGUUGAAAAAGAAAAGUAAAUAGAUAACUAUUUAUGUCCCAAGUCUUUCAUAAAAUCAUCUUCAACACUUUUACCUUACUCAUAGAAACUUAAAAAAAAAAAAAACUGUUUGUACAUAUAUACUUAAUGUUUGAAAAAGUCUAGCGUAUAUGCUAAGGUCCAUAAAAUGUUGUAUGGGAUGUGGUGGUCUGAAGAUGUUUCCUUUAUCUUCUUGAAUCCCAUUUGACAUUCUGAGAAAUUUAUAUUGUGGGUAUAUUAAAGAGAGUUUUAUAUAAGCCUUCAUCUUCCUCUCUUUCCUUAGUUUAUGUCAAAGUUUUAGUCAUUGGUUUCCGGUUUUGUUGUGUGUUUUUUGGCAUCCCAGUUCGUUUCUAUUUUUCAUUGUGAUUAUCUUGUUUAGGACUUCCUUUAACUCCUCACGGACAGGUCUCGCAACAUCGCGCUAGCAUCCACUAGCCUCGUACUCAUUCAGUCCCCGUAAGAUGUUAAUAAAAGAUGAAAAUUGACACUUUCAUUCUUUCUUAUUGAAUUUAGAUUAUUCUGAAUCAUUAUGAAGUAUUUUUAUAAGGGAUGAUAUAACUUGUAUGAAUGUACAUUUUCCCCCCCCCAAAAAAAAUAGUUUGUGGGUGUUGCGUGGUCAGCUUAAACCCAUCUGUGAGGAAACUAAAAUCCAUAAAAGCUGUGUUGUUUCAAACAAGAUAAAGAAUGGGUGACAAAGAGUCUUAUGCUCUGGCAUUUUUUUCUCCAAAUUAAAUGAUAACUUCC
This is an RNA transcript of Penaeus indicus, 2891 nucleotides long. It is a transcript of the gene named guanine nucleotide-binding protein subunit gamma-1-like, with no coding region annotated. The transcript is spliced from 4 exons. Lineage: Eukaryota; Metazoa; Arthropoda; Malacostraca; Decapoda; Penaeidae. The record is from RefSeq and is a predicted model, not a curated record.